UACCAGCUCUCCGAGUGGUGUGGAUGUUUAUUGGGCCUAAAGCAUCCGUAGCUGGCUGGACAAGUCCCCUGUUAAAUCCACCGAUUUAAUCGUUGGAGUGCGGGGGAUACUGUUCGGCUAGGGGACGGGAGAGGCAGACGGUAUUUCCGGGGUAGGGGUGAAAUCCUAUAAUCCCGGGAAGACCACCAGUGGCGAAGGCUGUCUGCUAGAACGCGCCCGACGGUGAGGGAUGAAAGCUGUGGGAGCGAACCGGAUUAGAUACCCGGGUAGUCCCAGCUGUAAACGAUGCAGGCUAGGUGUUUGGACGGCCACGUGCCGUUCUAGUGCCGCAGGGAAGCCGUUAAGCCUGCCGCCUGGGGAGUACGGCCGCAAGGCUGAAACUUAAAGGAUUGGCGGGGAGCACACAAGGGUGAAGCUUGCGGUUU
Molecule: ribosomal RNA, 425 nt
Filed under: uncultured archaeon
Lineage: Archaea
Description: bacterial SSU rRNA
Rfam family: Archaeal small subunit ribosomal RNA
Source: RNAcentral